AUAACAGUUGGAAACGGCUGCUAAUACCGCAUAAGCGCACGGUAUCGCAUGGUACAGUGUGAAAAACUCCGGUGGUAUGAGAUGGACCCGCGUCUGAUUAGCUAGUUGGCAGGGUAACGGCCUACCAAAGCGACGAUCAGUAGCCGACCUGAGAGGGUGACCGGCCACAUUGGGACUGAGACACGGCCCAGACUCCUACGGGAGGCAGCAGUGGGGAAUAUUGCACAAUGGGGGAAACCCUGAUGCAGCAACGCCGCGUGAGUGAUGACGGCCUUCGGGUUGUAAAGCUCUGUCUUCAGGGACGAUAAUGACGGUACCUGAGGAGGAAGCCACGGCUAACUACGUG
RNAcentral lists this ribosomal RNA (346 nucleotides) under uncultured bacterium. RNAcentral describes it as "bacterial SSU rRNA". It matches the Rfam family "Bacterial small subunit ribosomal RNA", at positions 143 to 507 of the family's 1533-position model. The record is from RNAcentral.